CCCAGUACCUGCUGCUUCACUCCCUCAGAGAAGUCAUCAGUACCUGUCCAGCCUCUAGUCUCUCGCCCCAUGUGUCUGGGCCUUGCUGUUGCAGACCUGUGAGUGUCAGGAGGAGGGCACCAGGAAGCUGGGGGAUGGAUGUUUGGGAAAAUUGACCUUAGUCAACCCGGCUCAGCUUCUGCCCCGACUUAAACAAAAUAGCAAUAGCUGAAGAACGGAGAAGCAGCGUUUGAUGAGGAAGGAGUCGUGCUCAAAGGAAAAUUACGAAGAGAAAGUGUCGCGAGGACAUCUGAAGGAUUAUAUGACAGAAACUGAAGAAACAGAGCUGGACAGACAAAGUGCCAAAAGGAAGAACCUGCAGAUAAAUAACAGAGACUUUAAGCAGCAGCCAAACCAACAUGAUGAAGUUCCUGCUACUGCUCACCCUCCCACUGAUGGCAGGUUGUGAUAAAGUUGAUGAAGCAAGAGCUUGUGCAACAGGAUGGGUUCAAUUCACCUGCAAAUAUCCUAAAACAUUUAAAAUAUAUGAGUACACUGAUGUACUUACUCACAGAGGGACAACCUUACGGAGCUCUCAGAAGGAUGUGUGGGAAGACAAAGGCAGAUUUUCUCUGUACAAUAAUACAAACCAAGGAAAGCUCAAAGUGGCCGUUAAACAUCUGGAACAAGAGGACUUUGGGAAGUAUCAGUGUAAAUUUUACAGA
Molecule: long non-coding RNA, 704 nt
Organism: Archocentrus centrarchus (flier cichlid)
Lineage: Eukaryota; Metazoa; Chordata; Actinopteri; Cichliformes; Cichlidae
Exons: 4
Source: RefSeq, a predicted model, not a curated record